AGGACGAACGCUGGCGGCGUGCUUAACACAUGCAAGUCGAGCGAGAGCCAGUCGAGGGGUAACCCUCGGCUGGGGACAGCGGCGAACGGGUGCGUAACACGUGGGCAACCUGCCCCUGACACUGGGAUAACCCCGGGAAACCGGAGCUAAUACCGGAUACUCUCGGCCGAUCACAUGGCUGGCCGAGGAAAGGUCCGCCGGUCAGGGAUGGGCCCGCGGCCUAUCAGCUUGUUGGUGAGGUAACGGCCCACCAAGGCGACGACGGGUAGCUGGUCUGAGAGGACGACCAGCCACACUGGAACUGAGAUACGGUCCAGACUCCUACGGGAGGCAGCAGUGGGGAAUAUUGCACAAUGGGCGAAAGCCUGAUGCAGCGACGCCGCGUGAGGGAUGGAAGGCCGUUCGGUGUAAACCUCGUUUCGGCGAGGACGAAGCGAUCAGUGACGGUACCUGACAGACGAACGACCCCGCUAACGUACGUCGCCAGCACGCCGAC
This 496-nucleotide ribosomal RNA is filed under the name uncultured soil bacterium. RNAcentral describes it as "bacterial SSU rRNA". It matches the Rfam family "Bacterial small subunit ribosomal RNA", at positions 26 to 522 of the family's 1533-position model. The record is from RNAcentral.